Molecule: ribosomal RNA, 484 nt
Filed under: uncultured bacterium
Lineage: Bacteria
Description: partial 16S ribosomal RNA
Rfam family: Bacterial small subunit ribosomal RNA
Source: RNAcentral
AUUGAACGCUGGCGGCAGGCCUAACACAUGCAAGUCGAGCGGAUGAAGGGAGCUUGCUCCUGGAUUCAGCGGCGGACGGGUGAGUAAUGCCUAGGAAUCUGCCUGGUAGUGGGGGAUAACGUCCGGAAACGGGCGCUAAUACCGCAUACGUCCUGAGGGUGAAAGUGGGGGAUCUUCGGACCUCUCGCUAUCAGAUGAGCCUAGGUCGGAUUAGCUAGUUGGUGGGGUAAAGGCCUACCAAGGCGACGAUCCGUAACUGGACUGAGAGGAUGAUCAGUCACACUGGAACUGAGACACGGUCCAGACUCCUACGGGAGGCAGCAGUGGGGAAUAUUGGACAAUGGGCGAAAGCCUGAUCCAGCCAUGCCGCGUGUGUGAAGAAGGUCUUCGGAUUGUAAAGCACGUUAAGUGGGGAGGAAGGGCAGUAAGUUAAUACCUUGCUGUUUUGACGUUACCAACAGAAUAAGCACCGGCUAACUUCGUG